UGACAUUCCAGAAGGCAGAGGGUGCUGGUGUUUUGUUGAACAUUCAGGAGUGCUGAUGCAGGGAAGACAAGGUGACAAGAAGAGCAAGCCGCUCUCAAUUACGUUUAACAGACACAACAACACGCCAUGAGCUUGUCCAAACAGCUGG
Molecule: long non-coding RNA, 148 nt
Filed under: Cricetulus griseus (Chinese hamster)
Lineage: Eukaryota; Metazoa; Chordata; Mammalia; Rodentia; Cricetidae
Description: lncRNA (ENSCGRG00000024462.1)
Source: RNAcentral